GACGAACGCUGGCGGCGUGCCUAAUACAUGCCAGUCGAACGAACCGCGACUAAGUGCUUGCACUAAGUCAAGGUGAGUGGCGAACGGGUGAGUAACACGUGGGUAACCUACCUCAUAGUGGGGGAUAACAGUCGGAAACGACUGCUAAUACCGCAUAGGACAUAGGAUCACAUGAUCCAGUGAGGAAAGGUGGCGCAAGCUAUCGCUAAGAGAUGGACCCGCGGUGCAUUAGCUAGUUGGUAGGGUAAAGGCCUACCAAGGCGAUGAUGCAUAGCCGACCUGAGAGGGUGAUCGGCCACAUUGGGACUGAGACACGGCCCAAACUCCUACGGGAGGCAGCAGUAGGGAAUCUUCCGCAAUGGACGCAAGUCUGACGGAGCAACGCCGCGUGAGUGAAGAAGGUCUUCGGAUCGUAAAGCUCUGUUGUUAGAGAAGAACAGCGAAUAGAGUAACUGCUAUGCGUGUGACGGUAUCUAACCAGAAAGCCACGGCUAACUACGUG
This 502-nucleotide ribosomal RNA is filed under the name uncultured bacterium. RNAcentral's name for it is "partial 16S ribosomal RNA". It matches the Rfam family "Bacterial small subunit ribosomal RNA", at positions 28 to 507 of the family's 1533-position model. The record is from RNAcentral.